This is an RNA transcript of Asparagus officinalis (garden asparagus), 3912 nucleotides long. It is a transcript of the gene named mitogen-activated protein kinase kinase kinase YODA-like, with no coding region annotated. The record is from RefSeq and is a predicted model, not a curated record. Lineage: Eukaryota; Viridiplantae; Streptophyta; Magnoliopsida; Asparagales; Asparagaceae. The transcript is spliced from 13 exons.
GAAUAAAACCGCUUACAAAACUCACGCAACACAAAAACGAUUCCUUUUUUACUCCUCUUUCCAUUCCAUUUCCUCAAAAACUCCCAAAAUUCUCCGAUCCCGUCAACUCUCUCUCUCUCUCUCUCUCCAACGUCUCCUCGCUCUCCAAUUCUAGGGUUUCUCUCUCAUUUCCCCCAAAUUUGGCCUCAGCUGCAAGAUCUAAGCCCAGUCAAUGCCCCAAUCUAGGGCAAAUUGGGCACUGACUGAUCGCCAUUACCCUCUUCUGAGAUCAGCGGUUGUCGAUCUCUAAUUUGGUGCAGAUUCGAUUCUUCUGGUUAUCAGAGGAGGCUGUUUCAGCUCAAUACCAGCUGCAGGAGGCUUUCUAAUUCGGUCAGCUUGGUUUCUUGACGGCUCCUUAUGGGCAGAAACUUUGCUGACCUCUGACUUCAUAUAAGUUUCAUUUUCGCAAACUUUUUAAGGUCAUAUAUAGAGAGCCCAUCUCUUCUUAUAUGCACAAAAAUGCCUUCGUGGUGGGGGAAGUCUUCAUCUAAAGAUGUAAAGAAAAAGACAAGAAAGGAAAAUUUUGUUAAUACGUUGCAUCGGUUCAUGAGCCUAACUGACCAAAAGGAUGAUGCUCGAUCUGAGAGGUCCCAAAAAUGUAAUAUAUCUUUAGGCAGGGAACCUCAGUCAAGAGUGGAAUCACGAGCAGAAUCACGGUCUACAUCUGCUCAAGUUUCACGCUGCCAAAGCUUUGCGGAUAGGCCACCUGAUCCACAGCCACUUCCACUUCCUAGGGUUCACUCAGAUAUACCACGCAUACAAUCUCGAGCUGUUGUUGUGAAACCUAUACUGGAAAAGCGCGGCAGACCACAGUUGUUUCUUCCGCUUCCAGCAUCAGAUUGUGAUUCGAGGGGACCACAUGCCAUGGAGAUUGAUGUAGAUUUAGGUACUGCCUUAUUUUACAGAAAUUGCUCUAAUGAUAAUGAUGAUCAAGCAGACUCUCAACUUCAAAGCCCGGUAGGUAUUGAUGCUGCAACUGUUAACAAAGAUAUAGCACAUCGACCUUUCAGCUUGGCACAAAAAAAUCUGCCUCCCAUUGAUAUUCAGAAGAGUUCAAGAGUGAUGGUCAAGUCUGCUAAUUCAUUGGUCAAUAACCAAAUUAUUUCUACAUCACCUAAGCAAGGACCACCCACCAAAGAGAUUCCCCAGUAUGGACCUUUGGGAAGUGCUCCCGACAGUUUGAUGUCGAGUCCUUCUAGAAGCCCCAUGAGAGUGGUUCACCCUGAGCAAAUUCCCACAUCUGCAUUUUGGGCAACCAAGCCUAACCCAGAUGGCAACUUCCUUGGAUCUGCACAGUGCUCCAGUCCUGGUUCUGGUCAGACCUCAGGGCAUAAUUCGAUGGGCGGAGAUAUAUCAGGACAUCUAUUUUGUCUACAUAGUAGGGGUAGUACAGAGUGUUCUCCAGUUCUUAGCCCGAGAAUGACAAGUCCUGGUCCUAACUCUAGGAUACACAGUGGAUCUGUCUCUCCAUUACAUCCACGAGCAGGAGGAGCACUUGAGUCGCCUACAUCACUGGUUGAUGAGGGAAGAAAACAAAGUCAUCGUUUACCACUACCACCAAUCAAAGUAUCUCACUGCUCGCCAUUCCCAUUACCAAGUUCUACAUCAAACUCUCCUCGCUCAGUUCCUCGUAGCCCUGGAAGGAUAGACAACCCCAUAAGUCCUGGGUCCCGAUGGAAGAAAGGGAAGCUAAUUGGUCAGGGUACAUUUGGGCAUGUUUAUGUUGGCUUUAACAGUGAAAAUGGUGAAAUGUGUGCAAUGAAGGAGGUUACCCUUUUUUCUGAUGAUGCCAAAUCAAGGGAGAGCGCCAAGCAGCUGGGUCAAGAAAUAUCUCUUUUGAGUCGGCUACGGCAUCCUAACAUAGUGCAAUACUAUGGUUCUGAAACGGUGGAUGAUAAACUUUACAUAUACCUGGAGUAUGUAUCUGGUGGUUCCAUCCAUAAACUUCUACAAGAAUAUGGACAGUUUGGAGAAGUAGCCGUUCGCAACUAUACUAAGCAAAUACUUUCGGGGCUUGCGUAUUUGCAUGCCAAGAAUACUGUCCAUAGGGAUAUCAAAGGAGCAAAUAUCCUUGUAGAUCCUAAUGGGCGUGUAAAAUUAGCUGACUUUGGGAUGGCAAAACAUAUUACUGGGCAAUCAUGUCCACUAUCAUUCAAGGGAAGUCCCUACUGGAUGGCUCCUGAGGUUAUCAAAAAUGCAAAUGGAUGUAACCUUGCUGUUGAUAUAUGGAGCCUUGGUUGCACAAUUUUGGAGAUGGCUACAUCAAAACCACCAUGGAGCCAAUAUGAAGGGAUUGCUGCAAUGUUCAAGAUUGGGAACAGUAGGGAGCUUCCAGCAAUUCCUGGUCAUCUGUCAGAAGAUGGGAAGGAUUUUAUAAGACGGUGUCUACAACGAGAACCAUCAUAUCGUCCUACAGCUGCUGAGCUUCUGCAACACCCCUUCGUGAAAAAUUCUGCUCCAGUGGAUAGAUCCUUCCCUUCUCCUGAAACUUUAGAACUCCGUACAAGUGAUCCAUGUACAGCAACUUAUAAGGGUUUUGGACAUGUGAGAAACCUUUCCUCCCUGGAAGUUGAUGUUACUGGAAAGCACCAGCUCAGAGGCGCAAAAUCUACUACGCUAACCAGCGAUGGCCGUGCAUGGAAUUUAUCUUGUCCAGUGUCUCCCAUUGGAAGCCCUUUAUUGGGUUCAAGAUCUCCGCAACAUAUUGAUGGGAGGUUAUCACCUUCUCCUAUUUCAAGCCCUAGAACCACCUCAGGUGCAUCGACUCCACUAGCAGGUGGAAAUGGGGCUAUUCCUUAUAAUCAACCCAAGCACAUGGCUUACAUUCAUGAAGGUUCCACAAGCGUGCUAAGAUCUUCAAACAAUCAAAGCAACACCAGUUCUACCUAUCAUGACCCUAGUCUGACUCUUCUUCGACAAAUGCAGCAGGACUCUUUGACUUUUGGGAAACUAGUAUCAUCUGAUGUUCCCCAUAUUCAAUAUGGAAGGAAACUGAAUAAGGGUUUCCGUGGAGGGCAUGAUAGCAAGGCUAUAUAGGCCUAUCAGUCAAAAGCUGAAGUCAUCACUAAAUUUUGUCCUGGUCCAACUCAAGGGCAUAGAGAUGUUAUCUAACUUUGUGCAAAGACUGUGAGCUGAUGCUUUAUUUUUGCUGGCUUAUUUUGUUUGGUCCAGCAUGUGGAGACGUUGGCUUCAUACAACAUCUGACAUAACUCAAGGGCCAAAAGAAGAGAAAAAAGAAACUGCAAGCAGAUUGAUCAGAGGAAAGUGGAGGUUACUGGACUAGUUCCUGUUCCUCGCUAGUGACGGUGAUGUCAAGUUCAUAUAGAGAAAUAAAGGCCCUUGGUGUUCCUCUGGUGUGUCUGUAUCAGCAGUUCUAACAGAAGUUUCUUUUACGACUGUAACUGAUUAUGGAAUGACAUCAGUGAAGAAUUUCGAGCUGACUUUGUACAGAAGACUUCAAAAAAUUCCAGAAUGUAUCCCGAUUUUGUUGGUCUAUUCUCCAGGGUGGUCCGAGUUUCGGAUGCUGUAGACUCGAGGAGUCGCAUUUGUUCCUUCCAUUUACAUAACAAGAUAGAAAUUGCAAAGAUGCUCAACCUUUUUGCGUGUAACUUACCGUCUGACCGUCUGAGGGUGUAAGGUCCGUACCCCUAGCAAUUUGUGGGAUCGUUGCGCUUUUAUUUUCGACUAACUGUGUACAGUAUUCUGUGCCAAUUAAUAGUUAAUUUCAAUCCAAUACCUGGGUAAACUGCACUUGUGCAUGUUAUGACAUUCCUUCCCCGUACAAGACCUGGGUUUUGUUUCUUUGAGUUAGCAAGGUGUUAUUGGCCAAGUAUACUUCAUCUCAUGACAAAAAAAGGCAAAAAAGAUUUUUUA